CCCGCACAAGCAGUGGAGUAUGUGGUUUAAUUUCGAAGCAACGCGAAGAACCUUACCUGGGCUCGAACGGCUUUUGCCGGUCUUGGAAACAAGACCUCUAUGCGGUUUUACCGUAUAGCGGAAGUCGAGGUGCUGCAUGGCUGUCGUCAGCUCGUGUCGUGAGAUGUUCGGUUAAGUCCGCUAACGAGCGCAACCCCUGUCCUUAGUUGCCAUCAGGUAAUGCUGGGAACUCUAAGGAAACUGCCCUGGUUAACGGGAGGAAGGUGGGGACGACGUCAAGUCAUCACGGCCUUUAUGUCCAGGGCUACACACGUGCUACAAUGGUCGGCACAAAGGGUUACCAACCCGCGAGGGGGAGCCAAUCCCAAAAAUCCGGCCUCAGUUCGGAUUGCAGUCUGCAACUCGACUGCAUGAAGUCGGAAUCGCUAGUAAUCGCGAAUCAGCAGGUCCGCGGUCGAAUACGUUCCGGGCCUU
This 474-nucleotide ribosomal RNA is filed under the name uncultured Holophagae bacterium. RNAcentral describes it as "bacterial SSU rRNA". It matches the Rfam family "Bacterial small subunit ribosomal RNA", at positions 920 to 1382 of the family's 1533-position model. The record is from RNAcentral. Lineage: Bacteria; Pseudomonadati; Acidobacteriota; Holophagae.